GAUAACGCUGGCGGCGCACAUAAGACAUGCAAGUCGAACGAAGUCGUUAUAAAAGGAUUGAAGAUUUAUCUGAUUGAUAUUUUGUAACAAUGGCUUUAGUGGCGGACUGGUGAGUAACGCGUAAGCAAUCUACCUAUUAGAGGGGAAUAACAAUGAGAAAUCAUUGCUAAUACCGCAUAUGCCAUAAUUACCACAUGGUAAUAGUGGGAAAGGAGCAAUCCGCUAAUAGAUGAGCUUGCGUCUGAUUAGUUAGUUGGUGGGGUAACGGCCUACCAAGACGACGAUCAGUAGCCGGACUGAGAGGUUGAACGGCCACAUUGGGACUGAGAUACGGCCCAG
This 339-nucleotide ribosomal RNA is filed under the name uncultured bacterium. Its description in RNAcentral is "bacterial SSU rRNA". It matches the Rfam family "Bacterial small subunit ribosomal RNA", at positions 32 to 334 of the family's 1533-position model. The record is from RNAcentral.